AUUGAACGCUGGCGGCAUGCUUUACACAUGCAAGUCGAACGGUAACAGGCCUUCGGGUGCUGACGAGUGGCGAACGGGUGAGUAAUGCAUCGGAACGUACCCAGAGGUGGGGGAUAACGCAGCGAAAGCUGUGCUAAUACCGCAUGUGAUCUGAGGAUGAAAGCGGGGGACCGAGCAGCAAUGUUUGGCCUCGCGCCUUUGGAGCGGCCGAUGUCGGAUUAGCUAGUUGGUGGGGUAAAGGCCUACCAAGGCGACGAUCCGUAGCUGGUCUGAGAGGACGACCAGCCACACUGGGACUGAGACACGGCCCAGACUCCUACGGGAGGCAGCAGUGGGGAAUUUUGGACAAUGGGCGCAAGCCUGAUCCAGCAAUGCCGCGUGCGGGAAGAAGGCCUUCGGGUUGUAAACCGCUUUUGGCAGGAACGAAACGGUGUCCGCUAAUACCGGGCGCUAAUGACGGUACCUGCAGAAUAAGCACCGACUAACUACGUG
Molecule: ribosomal RNA, 492 nt
Filed under: uncultured bacterium
Lineage: Bacteria
Description: partial 16S ribosomal RNA
Rfam family: Bacterial small subunit ribosomal RNA
Source: RNAcentral